This 204-nucleotide ribosomal RNA is filed under the name uncultured Bacillota bacterium. RNAcentral's name for it is "uncultured Firmicutes bacterium partial 16S ribosomal RNA". It matches the Rfam family "Bacterial small subunit ribosomal RNA", at positions 291 to 512 of the family's 1533-position model. Lineage: Bacteria; Bacillati; Bacillota. The record is from RNAcentral.
CUUGAGAGGGUGACCGGCCACAUUGGGACUGAGACACGGCCCAGACUCCUACGGGAGGCAGCAGUGGGGAAUAUUGCACAAUGGAGGAAACUUUGAUGCAGCGACGCCGCGUGAGUGAAGAAGUAAUUCGUUAUGUUAAAGAUCUAUCAGCAGGGAAGAUAGGACGGUACCUGACUAAGAAGCUCCGGCUAAAUACGUGCCAGC